CAAUAGCGUAUAUUAAUGUUGUUGCAGUUAAAAAGCUCGUAGUUGGAUUUCUGAUGGGAGCCCUGGUCACUCUAACGAGUGUACUGAUGUGGCGUCCUGUCGUUUCAUGGGGAUGCUUGCUGGUAUUAAGUUAUCGGCUUGUGGAUCCAUGUCGUUUACUGUGAAAAAAUUAGAGUGUUCAAAGCAGGCCAUCGCUGUGAAUACAUUAGCAUGGAAUAAUAAGAUAGGACUGUGGUGCUAUUUUGUUGGUUUGCGUACUACGGUAAUGAUUAAUAGGGAUAGUUGGGGGUAUUCAUAUUCAAUUGUCAGAGGUGAAAUUCUUGGAUUUAUGGAAGAUGAACUACUGUGAAAGCAUUUACCAAGGAUGUUUUCAUUAA
RNAcentral lists this ribosomal RNA (377 nucleotides) under uncultured eukaryote. RNAcentral's name for it is "partial 18S ribosomal RNA". It matches the Rfam family "Eukaryotic small subunit ribosomal RNA", at positions 592 to 976 of the family's 1831-position model. The record is from RNAcentral.